AAGUCCGUAACAAGGUCUCCGUUGGUGAACCAGCGGAGGGAUCAUUACCGAGUUUACAACUCCCAAACCCAAUGUGAACGUUACCAAACUGUUGCCUCGGCGGGGUCACGCCCCGGGUGCGUCGCAGCCCCGGAACCAGGCGCCCGCCGGAGGAACCAACCAAACUCUUUCUGUAGUCCCCUCGCGGACGUAUUUCUUACAGCUCUGAGCAAAAAUUCAAAAUGAAUCAAAACUUUCAACAACGGAUCUCUUGGUUCUGGCAUCGAUGAAGAACGCAGCGAAAUGCGAUAAGUAAUGUGAAUUGCAGAAUUCAGUGAAUCAUCGAAUCUUUGAACGCACAUUGCGCCCGCCAGUAUUCUGGCGGGCAUGCCUGUCCGAGCGUCAUUUCAACCCUCGAACCCCUCCGGGGGAUCGGCGUUGGGGAUCGGGACCCCUCACACGGGUGCCGGCCCCUAAAUACAGUGGCGGUCUCGCCGCAGCCUCUCCUGCGCAGUAGUUUGCACAACUCGCACCGGGAGCGCGGCGCGUCCACGUCCGUAAAACACCCAACUUUCUGAAAUGUUGACCUCGGAUCAGGUAGGAAUACCCGCUGAACUUAAGCAUAUCAAUAA
RNAcentral lists this ribosomal RNA (611 nucleotides) under Trichoderma asperellum. RNAcentral's name for it is "eukaryotic LSU rRNA". The stretch from base 231 to 384 matches the Rfam family "5.8S ribosomal RNA". Lineage: Eukaryota; Fungi; Ascomycota; Sordariomycetes; Hypocreales; Hypocreaceae. The record is from RNAcentral.